GUGUUCACUUCAGCAGUACACGUACUAAGAUUAGAACGAUAAAGAGAAGAUUAGCACGAUCCUUGCACAAUGAGGACUCUCCUGAGAGUGUAGUAGGAUUCUUUGCU
Small nuclear RNA from Mustela putorius furo (domestic ferret), 107 nucleotides. The record is from Ensembl. Lineage: Eukaryota; Metazoa; Chordata; Mammalia; Carnivora; Mustelidae.